Small nucleolar RNA from Colobus angolensis palliatus, 75 nucleotides. The record is from Ensembl. Lineage: Eukaryota; Metazoa; Chordata; Mammalia; Primates; Cercopithecidae.
UAAACCUGAACAAAUGAUUGAUGGUUUAGAAGUCAUGCGUGAUGAAUAAUAUGUGUCUGGAACCUAAAGGUUUGC